AUAUUUACUAUGUUUCUCACUCAGGCUUCAAUUUAAAUAAUUACAAUUGUGAAAUUAUCAUCGGAAGAUCCAAAAGUCCUGGCAAGGAGUGAGUCUAUGAGAGAUAAUGAGUUAAACAUGUUACUAUUUGCAAAUCUAUGGACACGGUGAAGUUGUAGUCAUGCUCUAUUGUCUUACCUCGAAAUUUGCAACUACUUGAUACAUUUAUCAGUAUUGAGAGUCUAUUGGAAAGUUCUACGUCAGGAGCACAACUUACAUACGUUUCCCUCCCUUUUCCCCUAUUUGGUGACUAGAUCUUCCAAUUGUAGUAUACAUGUUUCAUAUCACCUGUUGGGGGAGAUUGAUGGCAAUUUGGUCAACAACAAUUUUUGAGCACUUCAGUUACCUCACCUCUUGUUUAGAAUAGUUUGUGCUAAUUUUCCUUGGACAAUGAGUUGUGUAGUUGAAGUUAUAAUCAUUCAUGACUAUCAUAUGUAGCAUGGUCAGGCAGGCAAAAGAAAUGCAGAUUAAAAUUUGUUUGAUUUUCAUGCAGCGCAAGAGGAGUCUAGAUGGUCAUUCUUUUGGGACAGACUGUGUGGGUCAUUACCAUGAGACUAGUACUAAUAGUGUCUCCUCUGUUUUGAUGGCAUGGCAACAUUUGAUGUCAUUGGCUGAUUCCACGACUUAUUUUGCUGGUAGAGCACUCUGGGAAAAAAGUUUUGGAUUUUGAGGCUUUCAGCUUCCCUGGAGUGCAAUCUUUUUCCCUGUCUCCCGGUAAAUCUGUCAUCAAUCUGAGCCAGGGGAGUUGGUUUAUUAGGAUAUUGCUUUCGCAAGCCUCCCUUUUCUAAAUUAAAAUGUUGAGUCUGUCAUGUUGAUCUAUGUGCUGGACAUCUAGAUAUUCCUUGGGGGCUUUCUAGUUUCCUGUACUUGCACUUUGGCUGGCACAAACCUUUCAGAGACGUAUCAUUUUCUCAUUUCCAGUCUGUAGAUUUUGAAUAUUUUUAGAGAAGUGGUGAAAAAUGAUGUGUGGAGCUCAUUUGCAUGGUGCAAGUGCCUGGGUGGAUGGACUUGGUGAGCACUAGCAGGACCUGUGCUCUAGAUACUUCUUUGAUUAGAUUGUGUUGAAAUUGCGUUGUACUUCUGUAAAAUGGAAUUGGACCGAACUAUCUUGGUAUUUCUCUCUCUCUCUUUCUCUCUCUAUACAGACAGCCACUCACAUAGAUGUAUCCUUGCAUGUGCCUGUCCUUGCACAUCCUUGUGCUUGUGUGCGAGUGCAACAAAAGUGUGCACCUUUCUCACAUAUGUUCAAUGGUUGUUGUUCUGCCAGAACUUUUUGAUACUAUCAUAAUCUGAUAACAAAAGUGGAGCUAAUUUGCACGGUGCAAGUGCCUGGGUAGAUGGACCUGGUUAGCACUAGCAGGACCUGUGCCCUAGAUACUUCUUUGAUUAAAUUGUGUUGAAAUUG
RNAcentral lists this long non-coding RNA (1444 nucleotides) under Eucalyptus grandis. RNAcentral describes it as "long non-coding RNA (EGRA_LNC006596)". The record is from RNAcentral. Lineage: Eukaryota; Viridiplantae; Streptophyta; Magnoliopsida; Myrtales; Myrtaceae.